AAAUUGAAGAGUUUGAUCAUGGCUCAGAUUGAACGCUGGCGGCAGGCCUAACACAUGCAAGUCGAACGGUAACAGGAAGCAGCUUGCUGCUUCGCUGACGAGUGGCGGACGGGUGAGUAAUGUCUGGGAAACUGCCUGAUGGAGGGGGAUAACUACUGGAAACGGUGGCUAAUACCGCAUAACGUCGCAAGACCAAAGAGGGGGACCUUCGGGCCUCUUGCCAUCAGAUGUGCCCAGAUGGGAUUAGCUAGUUGGUGAGGUAACGGCUCACCAAGGCGACGAUCCCUAGCUGGUCUGAGAGGAUGACCAGCCACACUGGAACUGAGACACGGUCCAGACUCCUACGGGAGGCAGCAGUGGGGAAUAUUGCACAAUGGGCGCAAGCCUGAUGCAGCCAUGCCGCGUGUAUGAAGAAGGCCUUCGGGUUGUAAAGUACUUUCAGCGGGGAGGAAGGUGUUGUGGUUAAUAACCGCAGCAAUUGACGUUACCCGCAGAAGAAGCACCGGCUAACUCCGUGCCAGCAGCCGCGGUAAUACGGAGGGUGCAAGCGUUAAUCGGAAUUACUGGGCGUAAAGCGCACGCAGGCGGUCUGUCAAGUCGGAUGUGAAAUCCCCGGGCUCAACCUGGGAACUGCAUUCGAAACUGGCAGGCUUGAGUCUUGUAGAGGGGGGUAGAAUUCCAGGUGUAGCGGUGAAAUGCGUAGAGAUCUGGAGGAAUACCGGUGGCGAAGGCGGCCCCCUGGACAAAGACUGACGCUCAGGUGCGAAAGCGUGGGGAGCAAACAGGAUUAGAUACCCUGGUAGUCCACGCCGUAAACGAUGUCUACUUGGAGGUUGUGCCCUUGAGGCGUGGCUUCCGGAGCUAACGCGUUAAGUAGACCGCCUGGGGAGUACGGCCGCAAGGUUAAAACUCAAAUGAAUUGACGGGGGCCCGCACAAGCGGUGGAGCAUGUGGUUUAAUUCGAUGCAACGCGAAGAACCUUACCUGGUCUUGACAUCCACAGAACUUUCCAGAGAUGGAUUGGUGCCUUCGGGAACUGUGAGACAGGUGCUGCAUGGCUGUCGUCAGCUCGUGUUGUGAAAUGUUGGGUUAAGUCCCGCAACGAGCGCAACCCUUAUCCUUUGUUGCCAGCGAUUAGGUCGGGAACUCAAAGGAGACUGCCAGUGAUAAACUGGAGGAAGGUGGGGAUGACGUCAAGUCAUCAUGGCCCUUACGACCAGGGCUACACACGUGCUACAAUGGCGCAUACAAAGAGAAGCGACCUCGCGAGAGCAAGCGGACCUCAUAAAGUGCGUCGUAGUCCGGAUUGAGUCUGCAACUCGACUCCAUGAAGUCGGAAUCGCUAGUAAUCGUGGAUCAGAAUGCCACGGUGAAUACGUUCCCGGGCCUUGUACACACCGCCCGUCACACCAUGGGAGUGGGUUGCAAAAGAAGUAGGUAGCUUAACCUUCGGGAGGGCGCUUACCACUUUGUGAUUCAUGACUGGGGUGAAGUCGUAACAAGGUAACCGUAGGGGAACCUGCGGUUGGAUCACCUCCUUACCUUAAAGAAGC
Molecule: ribosomal RNA, 1553 nt
Filed under: Salmonella enterica subsp. enterica serovar Typhimurium
Lineage: Bacteria; Pseudomonadati; Pseudomonadota; Gammaproteobacteria; Enterobacterales; Enterobacteriaceae
Description: bacterial SSU rRNA
Rfam family: Bacterial small subunit ribosomal RNA
Source: RNAcentral